RNAcentral lists this long non-coding RNA (1203 nucleotides) under Meleagris gallopavo (turkey). RNAcentral describes it as "lncRNA (ENSMGAG00000019243.1)". The record is from RNAcentral. Lineage: Eukaryota; Metazoa; Chordata; Aves; Galliformes; Phasianidae.
AUGCGCUGCCGGCGGGGCAUGUUUUGCGGGCUGCUCUCUUGUCUCAUUGGAUCCCAUUUCCAUAAUCCCACCUCUUUUCCCUCCUCUCCCCAUCGUCGCUGGCUGCGAGCCCAGGAUCCCAUCCCCCCUAAGCCCCCGAGCCCCUCACCCUCAGCAGCUAUGAUGGCGGAGUGGGGAGCCCAACAGGGCCCCCAAAGCAUCGAACACCCCCUCAACCCACGUACCCCGCACUCCACUGCCGUGCCUCAGUUUCCCCACCACAGGGAGGUGGUGGCAAACCACCGCACUGCCCCAGCACUGCGCCCACCAUUGAGCAAUGCCCCGAUAAGCGCUAGGGGCACGGGGCCAGCCCAUCGCCGGUUCCCAAUUGCACGGAGUGCACAGGAGACACCCAACAAACGCCCUCCGUGGGGUGGGAGCCAGGUGGCUGCGCAGGUGACCUCGUGGGGAAAGCGUUGGCCCUGGAGGGGACAGCAUGGGAACGUGGCACAAGGGAUAGGGAGGAACGGAGAGUGUCCCCUUCGUCAUGGAGACAACACCUCAGGAUGUAACCAGUGCAGGGCACGCUCCCUGCAGGCUGUGUGCACCCCGGCACCAUGCACACCCCACUACAGCUGCAACCAGGGAACAACCGUGACGCCAAAGGGAGGAAAGUCCGGGGCAGUUGGCAUGGACGAGAGGUGGGGUCAAGGCCGGGGUUGGACACAUCCCGCAGCAGGACCCCGUGCUGCCCCUUGGAGGGGCUGCAGACCCAUUGCCGGGACACGGUUUCCCCAUGCACAGCAAAUGUUGGGGGUAUUCAGGGCAGGGUGUGUGGACACGGCCCUCCGGCCGCGCUCCAGUGCCUUGGCACAGCCCCACGCCUGGCCCCGGCCCCUAUUAACCAUUAAGAUCGAGCUCAGGGCGCCCGCCAAGUCUGGGACAGCACCAGCUGGGUGUCACUUUCUGGUGGCUCCCACACCGUGCGUCCCCCCCCGCAUCUGCGGGGACAAGCAGGGGACACCCCUUGCAGCGGGUGGGGGCCCUUUGCUGAGCCCAGCUCCCGCAGACCCUGUCCCGUGCGAUCACCCGAGGCCAUGCGUGACGAAGGCACCGCCGCAGUGCAAUGCGUGCAGCUUUCCCCAGGCAGUUGGUGCCCUCUCCUGGGGAGCAGAGCAGGAGUUACACCCCGCAGCCCUUGCAGGGACACGGGGAGCGGGAUGA